RNAcentral lists this ribosomal RNA (243 nucleotides) under uncultured prokaryote. Its description in RNAcentral is "partial 16S ribosomal RNA". It matches the Rfam family "Bacterial small subunit ribosomal RNA", at positions 524 to 765 of the family's 1533-position model. The record is from RNAcentral.
UACGGGGGGAGCAAGCGUUGUUCGGAUUUACUGGGCGUAAAGGGCGCGUAGGCGGCCACUGCAAGUCAGUUGUGAAAUCUCCGGGCUUAACUCGGAAAGGUCAACUGAUACUGCAGGGCUAGAGUGCGGAAGGGGCAACUGGAAUUCUCGGUGUAGCGGUGAAAUGCGUAGAUAUCGAGAGGAAGGCCGGUGGCGAAGGCGGGUUGCUGGGCUGACACUGACGCUGAACUGCGAAAGCUAGGG